RNAcentral lists this ribosomal RNA (253 nucleotides) under uncultured bacterium. RNAcentral's name for it is "partial 16S ribosomal RNA". It matches the Rfam family "Bacterial small subunit ribosomal RNA", at positions 524 to 776 of the family's 1533-position model. The record is from RNAcentral.
UACAGAGGUCUCAAGCGUUGUUCGGAUUCAUUGGGCGUAAAGGGUGCGUAGGUGGCGCCGUAAGUCGGGUGUGAAAUUUCGGAGCUUAACUCCGAAACUGCAUUUGAUACUGCGGUGCUUGAGGACUGGAGAGGAGACUGGAAUUCACGGUGUAGCAGUGAAAUGCGUAGAUAUCGUGAGGAAGACCAGUGGCGAAGGCGGGUCUCUGGACAGUUCCUGACACUGAGGCACGAAGGCUAGGGGAGCAAACGGG